RNAcentral lists this ribosomal RNA (503 nucleotides) under uncultured bacterium. RNAcentral's name for it is "partial 16S ribosomal RNA". It matches the Rfam family "Bacterial small subunit ribosomal RNA", at positions 30 to 523 of the family's 1533-position model. The record is from RNAcentral.
AUUGAACGCUGGCGGCAGGCUUAACACAUGCAAGUCGAGCGGGGUGAUGGUGCUUGCACUAUCACUUAGCGGCGGACGGGUGAGUAAUGCUUAGGAAUCUGCCUAUUAGUGGGGGACAACAUCUCGAAAGGGAUGCUAAUACCGCAUACGUCCUACGGGAGAAAGCAGGGGAUCACUUGUGACCUUGCGCUAAUAGAUGAGCCUAAGUCGGAUUAGCUAGUUGGUGGGGUAAAGGCCUACCAAGGCGACGAUCUGUAGCGGGUCUGAGAGGAUGCUCCGCCACACUGGGACGGAGACACUGCCCAGACUCCUACGGGAGGCAGCAGUGGGGAAUAUUGGACAAUGGGGGGAACCCUGAUCCAGCCAUGCCGCGUGUGUGAAGAAGGCCUUAUGGUUGUAAAGCACUUUAAGCGAGGAGGAGGCUCUUUUGGUUAAUACCCAAGAUGAGUGGACGUUACUCGCAGAAUAAGCACCGGCUAACUCUGUGCCAGCCGCCGCCGUAA